Molecule: ribosomal RNA, 468 nt
Filed under: uncultured bacterium
Lineage: Bacteria
Description: partial 16S ribosomal RNA
Rfam family: Bacterial small subunit ribosomal RNA
Source: RNAcentral
GACGAACGCUGGCGGCGUGCUUAACACAUGCAAGUCGAACGGAAAGGCCCUGCUUUUGUUUGUUUCUCGAGUGGCGAACGGGUGAGUAAAACGUGAGUAACCUGCCCUUAACUUUCUGAUAACUUCAGGGAACUGGGGCUAAUACCGGGGAUGAGCUCCUGCUGCAUGGGGGUGGUUGGAGUGUUUCGGCGGUUGGGGAUGGACUCGCUGCUUAUCAGCUUGUUUGUGUGGUAGUUGCUUACCAAGGCUUUGACGGGUAGCCGGCCUGAGAGCGUGACCGGCCACCUUGGGACUGCGAUACGGAGCAGAAGCCUACGGGCGGCAGUAGUGGGGAAUCUUGCAGAACGGCCGGACGCCUGAUGUAGAAAUGUUGCGAGCGUGAUGCUGGCUUACGGGUUGUAAACAGAUUUCGAAUGUGCCGAAGCGUGCGUGACGGUACUGGGUAAAGAAGCAACGGCUAACUACGUG